Molecule: ribosomal RNA, 319 nt
Filed under: uncultured eukaryote
Lineage: Eukaryota
Description: partial 18S ribosomal RNA
Rfam family: Eukaryotic small subunit ribosomal RNA
Source: RNAcentral
CCCUUAGAUGUUCUGGGCAGCACGCGCGCUACAAUGGUCUUCGCAAACGGAUGCAUUCUCGAAGGAGAAUGCCAAUCUUGGAAUCUAUGCCUUGGUCGGGACAGUUGCUUGCAAUUUUUCGACUCGGACCAGGAAUUCCUUGUAAUCGUGAUUCAUCACAUCACGAUGAAUACGUCCCUGCCCUUUGUACACACCGCCCGUCGCUCCUACCGAUCGAGGAGUUAGGUGAAUUGUUUUGAUCGAUAAGAUUUGACUAUGGUCAACUCUCGUUGUGAAAUUCUGUGAAUCUGACUGUUUAGAGGAAGGAAAAGUCGUAACA